CGGGGUAUAGCUCAGUGAUAGAGUCCACGCUUAGCAUACAUGAGGUCCUGGGUUCAAUCCUCAGUACCUCCA
This 72-nucleotide transfer RNA is filed under the name Camelus bactrianus (Bactrian camel). It matches the Rfam family "tRNA". From Rfam's summary of the family: Transfer RNA (tRNA) molecules are approximately 80 nucleotides in length. Their secondary structure includes four short double-helical elements and three loops (D, anti-codon, and T loops). Lineage: Eukaryota; Metazoa; Chordata; Mammalia; Artiodactyla; Camelidae. The record is from Rfam by way of RNAcentral. RNAcentral also lists the same sequence under 2 other names.